UCCUCGGUAGCUCAGUUGGUAGAGCAAGCGGCUGUUAACCGCUGGGUCACAGGUUCGAGUCCUGUCCGGGGAGCCA
This 76-nucleotide transfer RNA is filed under the name Legionellales bacterium. RNAcentral's name for it is "tRNA-Asn". It matches the Rfam family "tRNA". Rfam says of the family: Transfer RNA (tRNA) molecules are approximately 80 nucleotides in length. Their secondary structure includes four short double-helical elements and three loops (D, anti-codon, and T loops). Further hydrogen bonds mediate the characteristic L-shaped molecular structure. tRNAs have two regions of fundamental functional importance: the anti-codon, which is responsible for specific mRNA codon recognition, and the 3' end, to which the tRNAs corresponding amino acid is attached (by aminoacyl-tRNA synthetases). tRNAs cope with the degeneracy of the genetic code in two manners: having more than one tRNA (with a specific anti-codon) for a particular amino acid; and 'wobble' base-pairing, i.e. permitting non-standard base-pairing at the 3rd anti-codon position. The record is from RNAcentral. Lineage: Bacteria; Pseudomonadati; Pseudomonadota; Gammaproteobacteria; Legionellales.